Molecule: ribosomal RNA, 427 nt
Filed under: uncultured archaeon
Lineage: Archaea
Description: bacterial SSU rRNA
Rfam family: Archaeal small subunit ribosomal RNA
Source: RNAcentral
UACCAGCACCCCGAGUGGUCGGGACGAUUAUUGGGCCUAAAGCAUCCGUAGCCGGUUCUAUAAGUCCUCCGUUAAAUCCAUCUGCUUAACAGAUGGGCUGCGGAGGAUACUAUAGAGCUAGGAGGCGGGAGAGGCAAGCGGUACUCAGUGGGUAGGGGUAAAAUCCGUUGAUCCAUUGAAGACCACCAGUGGCGAAGGCGGCUUGCCAGAACGCGCUCGACGGUGAGGGAUGAAAGCUGGGGGAGCAAACCGGAUUAGAUACCCGGGUAGUCCCAGCUGUAAACGAUGCAGACUCGGUGAUGAAUAGGCUUAGUGCCUAUUCAGUGCCGCAGGGAAGCCGUUAAGCUGCCGCCUGGGGAGUACGGUCGCAAGACUGAAACUUAAAGGAAUUGGCGGGGAGCACCACAAGGGGUGAAGCCUGCGGUUC